CAAAUACUCCCUCCGUUCCAAAAUAGUUGACCCAACUUUGUACUAACUUUGUACUAAGGUUAGUACAAAGUUGGGUCAACUAUUUUGGAACGGAGGGAGUACAAG
Molecule: non-coding RNA, 105 nt
Organism: Triticum urartu
Lineage: Eukaryota; Viridiplantae; Streptophyta; Magnoliopsida; Poales; Poaceae
Source: Rfam